Molecule: ribosomal RNA, 548 nt
Filed under: uncultured Glomus
Lineage: Eukaryota; Fungi; Glomeromycota; Glomeromycetes; Glomerales; Glomeraceae
Description: SSU rRNA
Rfam family: Eukaryotic small subunit ribosomal RNA
Source: RNAcentral
UUGGAGGGCAAGUCUGGUGCCAGCAGCCGCGGUAAUUCCAGCUCCAAUAGCGUAUAUUAAAGUUGCUGCAGUUAAAAAGCUCGUAGUUGAAUUUCGGGACCAAUAUGUCGGUCGUGCCUCGGUACGUACUGGCAUCGUUGGUUUCUCCCUUCUGACGAACCAUGAUGUCAUUUAUUUGGUGUCAUGGGGAAUCAGGACUGUUACUUUGAAAAAAUUAGAGUGUUUAAAGCAGGCUCACGCUUGAAUACAUUAGCAUGGAAUAAUGAAAUAGGACGUUUGAUUCUAUUUUGUUGGUUUCUAGGAUCGACGUAAUGAUUAAUAGGGAUAGUUGGGGGCAUUAGUAUUCAAUUGUCAGAGGUGAAAUUCUUGGAUUUAUUGAAGACUAACUACUGCGAAAGCAUUUGCCAAGGAUGUUUUCAUUAAUCAAGAACGAAAGUUAGGGGAUCGAAGACGAUCAGAUACCGUCGUAGUCUUAACCAUAAACUAUGCCGACUAGGGAUCGGAUGAUGUUAAUUUUUUAAUGACUCAUUCGGCACCUUACGGGAAAC